UAAAUUUGUUAAUAAGAUAAAUUAAAUCAGAUUUGUUCUUCACUACGCUUCUGCAGUUUCAUUGUAGUACUUUGCCUAAGUGAGCCAUUGUUAAAUAUGUCAGGUAUUAUUUUCAAUAAAGGGGCAACGUUGGACGGUAACAUUGUUUGUGACAGUGAUGAAACUAAAGCUAUAAUAAUAUCAGCCACCGAUUGUGGUUCUGGCAGGGUACCAGUUUUAGGAAGUGCACACCCAUCGGCAUAAUUGGGAGAGUUGAAAUCACCUGCAAUAGCUUGGUGGGCUGCACGAUCAUAACCUUGUAUCGAUUUAGGCGGAGAACGGGGCUUCUGAAAAACAGUUUUUUUAUAAGAAUUACUGUGCAAUGAUUGAAUGGCUGGAAUUUUGACAUCUUGGCUGUUUGCUAUAAAAGAAGAUGAGGAUGUAAACUUUAAUGUGUCUGCAUAUGAUUUAGUCACCGGAGGAUAUAUCUUUGAUGCUUCUGAACAUGUCCACUGGUACACCUCUUACAAGCCCCAUUCUGGUAACAUUAAAUGAUGAAAUAAAGGCUUCAUAGCCUUUUUCCAAUAAGGCAUGAUGCUUUAUAAAAGAAUUUGCAGCUGAGUGACUGGAGAAUGCUAUCGAAAUUUUGUUGCGACCGAUACGUUUCAAACUGCCUUGUACUAUGUUUGGCACCUGGUUUUUAUAUAAAAAUCUGCCAAAGCAUAUUGGAUGCAAGUUGAGAUCCUGUGUUACCUCACCAGUACUAGACCUAGCAACAUGAAUAAUGAAUGGUGAAGCAUCCAAUGCA
Long non-coding RNA from Manduca sexta (tobacco hornworm), 787 nucleotides. RefSeq lists it as uncharacterized. The record is from RefSeq and is a predicted model, not a curated record. Lineage: Eukaryota; Metazoa; Arthropoda; Insecta; Lepidoptera; Sphingidae. The transcript is spliced from 2 exons.